RNAcentral lists this non-coding RNA (964 nucleotides) under Carlito syrichta (Philippine tarsier). Lineage: Eukaryota; Metazoa; Chordata; Mammalia; Primates; Tarsiidae. The record is from Rfam by way of RNAcentral.
AAACACAUAGGUUUGGUCCUAGCUUUCUCAUUAGUUUCUAGUAAAAUUAUACAUGCAAGUAUCUGCCCUCCAGUGAGAAUGCCCUCUAGGUCCCAACAGACCAAAAGGAGCGGACAUCAAGGACACUAACAAGUAACUCACAACAUCUUGCUCAACCACACCCCCACGGGAUACAGCAGUAAGAAAAAUUAAGCAAUAAACGAAAGUUCGACUAAGUUAUACUAGAAAUACAGGGUUGGUAAAUUUCGUGCCAGCCACCGCGGUCAUAUGAUUAACCCAAACUAAUAAGAUCCGGUGUAAAGCGUGUUUAAAUUAUACUCAAACUAAAGUUAAACCCUGACUAGGCCGUAAAAAGCUACAGUCAAACCUAAAAUAAUCCACGAAAGUGACUUUAAUGUUUUGAAGACAUGACAGCUAAGACUCAAACUGGGAUUAGAAACCCCACUAUGCUUAGCCAUAAAUAUAAAUAAAUUUAAACAAAUUUAUUCGCCAGAGUACUACAAGCAACAGCUUAAAACUCAAAGGACUUGACGGUGCUUCACAUCCCUCUAGAGGAGCCUGUUCUAUAACUGAUAACCCCGAUUAACCUUACCACCCCUUGCUAAUUCAGUCCAUAUACUGCCAUCUUCAGCAAACCCUAAAAAGGCCCUAAAGUAAGCACAAGUAUAAACAUAAAAACGUUAGGUCAAGGUGUAACCUAUGAGGUGGAAAGCAAUGGGCUACAUUCUCUACUUUAGAGCAUUACGAAUAUUCUUAUGAAAACAAGAAUUAAAGGAGGAUUUAGCUGUAAACUAAGAAUAGAGAGCUUGAUUGAAAAAAGGCCAUGAAGCACGCACACACUGCCCAUCACCCUCCUCAAAUGCAACCCAUACAACAGCUACAUAAAAAUAAAUCAUAACGCAUGAGAUGAGAUAAGUCGUAACAAGUUAAGCAUACUGGAAAGUGUGCUUGGAAUAGACAAAGU